Perca flavescens (yellow perch) is the source of this 194-nucleotide long non-coding RNA. RefSeq lists it as uncharacterized. The transcript is spliced from 3 exons. The record is from RefSeq and is a predicted model, not a curated record. NCBI's taxonomy places the organism in Eukaryota, Metazoa, Chordata, Actinopteri, Perciformes, Percidae.
CAAUCUGUCUUGCAUCAUACCCAGCUGAUUUUCUCCCAUCUCAUGCAAGCCCAUGUGGUGACAGAAUGAACUGUGCUCAACCCAGCGUAGCAGCCAGUCCCCCAAUGGGAGAAGAAUUGCCAGGACCCUCAGUUCCACAAACGUCAGUUCAACAAUCGUCAGCAGCUUCAACCUGGGCCACUGAAGUCAACCCC